GCACGCACAGCCCUCCGCCGAAGCGCAGCGAUAACAAUACCGAGCAGCCUCUGCCUGCCAAAAUAACGCAAAACGCCAUGCUUGGGCUUUGCCAGAAAACACCGGAUUUGCUUUUAUGUUUUGUCGGGGACAGGCCGGAACUUAACCAAUUUACCCUCAUUGGCUUUCCUGACGCUAUCAUUACCUAACAUGCAAGUUUCUCCAGUCUGUUUCUUACAUCGAGACAAUGCAAGACAUGCUCCAGUUCUGGCAGUCUUCCACUUCCAUCCCACACUGAUCACUUUACAUCUCUCUGUAUUCUCUCCUCACACUGAUUCGGAGUCAUCAUGACCAGACUGCCUCUACAACUGGUGUAACAGGUAGCUCUCCUCCACUGAGAUGCAAACAGAUCUUCAUGUGAAAAGAAAGAAGGAAAGAUCUGCUUUGGGGACUGUUGAAGUUACACUAAUAGAGGGCCAUGAAGGGACAGCUGAGAAGCAAAUAGUUUCUUAUGCCAAGACCAAGGAACCAAAACAGAACAUUCUGACUCCUUGCAAAGCCAGAAUGAAGAAAAUGAAAGGAAAAAUGUUGUAAAUGGACAUCUUCAGCAAAAGCAUGAGUAGCAUGGCCUCGAGUUCUACUGCCAUCAGUGUAAGGAACACCAUUUCAGGUAACAGCUGUAGGACCUUUCCACAGUGAUCACUCUCUCCUCGUUUAACCCCUGCAGAAUAAAACAGGUCCUUUCCACACAUGAUUGGGAAAAAUCCAGCAUUUAACCAUAAGUGGUCCAAAAGCACUUUCCAUUUUAAGACUAAGAAAAAAUGAAGCCAAAAUAUUCUUUCUUCUGGCUGAAGAACCUAGGGAAAGCACCAUAUGCUGGGGAACUGAAAAUAAACCAGAUCUUUCCUACUGAGGUGUGAAAUCUUAACACUGUUAAUAUCCAGAUUACACAGGGAGCAUAUUUGCCUUUGGGCACUGCUGGAAAUGAACCCCAGAUCUUGGCAACAUUGAUGUUUCCAUAUUAAUAUUAGUGAACCUUCCUUAAUAAUUGAUGAGGCCUUGCAGCAACGUGAAAAAAAUAAAUAAAUCCUGUCCCGUAGGAUUUUGGGUUGCUAACUUGCAGAAGAUUAGACAAGUACAGCCUGCUGAGAGUCCUAAUGAAUCAAGAAUGCAGGCAGACAGCACCAUUCAUAGGCCUCUCCAAACAGCCAAAGUUACUGGUAUGACACAACAGUACUGCUCUUUACUCUACUUCUGUUCUUCACUAUGGUUGCUCCACUGUGAUUUGCUCAAAUAGCUCAAGACCAGCAAUCAGCAGGUGAAGGGAGCUUUCUGAUGGUGGUGAGACAUGGUAAUAUCUCCCCUAUGCAUAUACAUAGAAAAACAGCCUUUGUCAUCCUGAAUUUUAACUGCUGCUGUAGGGUAUCCCACUUUUGCAUCAUUGCUUUGGUCCUUGUCACUGCAGGUGCCUUAUCUCAGCAGCAGAAGCCAACUAGUAAAAGCUGCACCAUGCUCAGCCUGUUACUAAGCCAGAUGACCAUGAUGUCUGAAGCUGCGCAAUGCCGCAGGAUGACAUCCAUCUGCUAUAAAAUUCCAGUUGCAUAGGCAUCAUCCUAUUUGUAUUAAUAAGAUUUAUAUUCCCAGAAUUAAUGAAGAUUCCUUCAAGCAUCCUGACAGCAGUUCAAAAACAACUGGCAAAAGUAAUGGAUGUCACAAAAGCAAUGAUGAGAGUGUUAGUCUCAGCUGCAGUUUGAAAUUCCUGUCUUCAGGGACUAUUCUGCACUGUGGGAAAAAAAAAAAAAGAAAUAAAAGCUGUAGAGGGUUGGGGUGCAUGAUGGAACGUCACACCAUAGGGCAUCUUCCUAGACUGCUGAGGGGCACAUUUGAAAAAAUGUGGUACUGUGCAUAUGCAAUUACAUUUCAUUAAAGAUGAGACUACUGUAAGCUGCUGUUGCAAAGUGAUAUGGACGCACUUGUGUUUGAUAUUCCUAAAUUGUUGAGCUUAGAGUGGACUGGUUCAUCUUAUUUAUGACUAUUUAGAGGUGCAGCCUCAGAAAGGUGUAUGUGAAGUAUUUCCUCAGCUGGUCUUACUCGAUAUUCUUUGUUUAAACCUAUAUCAAAAACUAUUUAACAAGUAGUGAAAAGUCUGUUUUAGCAACUGCCGUGGCUCUCCCCCACCCCAUUUUUGUCUAAAAUCUGGACAAAGCUCUGUAAACACACACUACAGAAUUAAGCAGGAAACUAAACUCGGUGCAACUUAGUGAGACCAUAGGAACAGUCAGUCAGCAUGUUUUUGCACCACAUUGUUGCACGACAAAUUCUGGUUGAAAAGAAUUAAAUCAGUGUUUAGAUCAAAAUAAUCUACAUUAUCCUGACCUUAUGACAUCAUGAUAGAGUACAGUGCCAAUGCAUAUUAAGAGCUUUUUGCACAAUUUUAGCUAAAAUUUAUCCUAAUUGUCCUAAUAUAUCCUAAUUAUCCUAAUAUAUCCUAAUAAAUCCUAAGAUUUAUCCUAAUUCCUUGAAUUCAAGUUAAUUUCCAUAGAACUCCAUUGAUUUCACCUCUUUGAUUCUGAGAAAAUGUUCCAUAAGGCACUGGCUACUACAUUAUUAAAUACAUACAGAUAAGGUUAUCAGAUCUUGACAGCUAGCAGGUGUUGAAAUCCUUAUUUUAAAGAUUGCUAUAGUUUGUUUCUGGUUUUGUUUUUCUUUUUCUUUUUUUUUCUUUUUUUUUUUUAAAUCAAUCUAGAAAUGGUGUAUUGAUAGGUGAUAGGAUGCACAGGCAAUCAAUGUAUUUACAGAGGAAGGUACAGAAUCUCUAAUAUUCAUUAUUCAGUGCUCCAGCCACUUAUAUGUGUGUAUGUGAAUUAUGUGCAGUAUUACUGAAACAAAAAAGUACAAUAUGAGGCAAUUUUCAUAGACUGAUGAUGAUAACAGCAUGUGCCCUUUCAACUGAAGAUUAUUUUUUAUUUCAGGUCUCUUCAGUAAGAGGAUAGCUUCUGUAAAAUAACAAAGUUAAUUGUGGUUAGCACUGAAAUGAUAAAUAAAAGAUUUGACUUUCUACAGGAGGCUAUUUUUUCAACUGAUAAAAGGGGAGAGAUGUCUGACAGAAUAAUGGGAUUAAUUUUAAAAACAUGCUUAGCUUUGGACAUUAUGUCCAAAGGCAAUGGCAUGAUUACUGUUGCCUUUAAAGAAAAUACAAAAGUUUAAUUUUAGGAAAAACACUGGAAAUACUAAGACAGUAGGCAUUUGAUUGGCUUUGAGGACUUAAUAGACAGUUUAGUUACCUUUCAAAUUGCUGGCUGACAAACCAAAGGGUACAUUUCAAACAAGUUGUCUGUUGUUCACAAUCUCAGCUACUACUGGCUUUACUGGAAAUCAUACUGUUAAUAUAUUUUGUAAUAAGUCUACAUUUUCUUGAGCCAAUUGUUUUUGUACCACUAACUUUUCCUACCAAGCAAUGUAGUCAGGCAACACUCAGACAGUUUAUUGUGCUGAUUAAAGAAAAAAAAACUUGUUCAUGUUUUCUGAAGAUUUUCUUGGAAAGUGAGAUCCUCACCACCUUGAAAUUAAUUUAUUUUCAAACAAUGCAAGGAGUAUUUUGUCACAUGAACACACAUGAACACACAAGCAUUUGCAUGUUCACACGUUGAAGCAGAGUAAAGAUAUUAUAGGAAACUACUUUGAAUUUCCUGACCUUCACAGAACUAAGGUUUCAACCUUAAUCAGUGCUAACACAGUUUCUCUCCCCACCCAUCUUUU
Long non-coding RNA from Cygnus atratus (black swan), 3738 nucleotides. RefSeq lists it as uncharacterized. The transcript is spliced from 5 exons. Lineage: Eukaryota; Metazoa; Chordata; Aves; Anseriformes; Anatidae. The record is from RefSeq and is a predicted model, not a curated record.